AAGGAUUUAGCUUAAUUAAAGUGUUUGAUUUGCGUUCAGAAGAUGUAGGAUAAAUUCUUGCAGUCCUUA
Molecule: transfer RNA, 69 nt
Filed under: Typhlomys cinereus (Soft-furred tree mouse)
Lineage: Eukaryota; Metazoa; Chordata; Mammalia; Rodentia; Platacanthomyidae
Description: tRNA-Ala
Rfam family: tRNA
About the family: Transfer RNA (tRNA) molecules are approximately 80 nucleotides in length. Their secondary structure includes four short double-helical elements and three loops (D, anti-codon, and T loops).
Source: RNAcentral